CUUCUCCCCCACCCCCUGUUUAUUAAUUUCUUCCCAGAACUGCUCAACUGCAUUUAAUUGGGUACACAUUUUGCUAAACAAAAAAAUACAGCAAUUAAAUCUUGAUCCCCCCCCCUUCUUUAUUGCAGGCUUCUUCUAAUUAAAGAAAUGUUUUGAUUAUUUUCCCCACUAACCCCUCAAAAGGAAAAGAAAUCUUAAAAUAAGUGGUGACAUCUCAAAUACUCCGGAAUAAAUUCUUCUUUGCAAGUUUGGAGUUGAGACACGGUCAAAUUCUACCCUAUGUGUCAUGAAAAAAGUUCUCUCUCUCUCUCUCUCUCUCUCUCUCUCUCUCUCUCUCUCUCUCAUAGAAUGAAAAUCCAGAUUGAAUUUGUUACACAGCUUCCGAGAACACUCAGGCCCGGCUUCCAAGUGCAAUCCUCCUGGCCGGGAGUCAGCAGCCCACGCACAUGCGCGCAGGGCGUUGCGCCAGGGCCGGUUCUUGCUUUGCCUGACCCUCUGCAGCCUCUGCUUUUCUGGAACUUGUGGUGCAGUGUCGCCUUCUCCGCGGGCACCUUCCGUGGGUUGCCCCAAGUGCACAGCCUCUGGCCGAAAUGCCAUCAUCUUAAAGGUGUUCCAGCUGAGCCAAUGUCUCCCAAACGCUUGCUCGCAACUGAGAAAAUGCCAAGCCAACUUUCUGCCUUCUCCUGUCCUACAUCCAGGCCUAUGAGAUUCCCUGGAGGAAAAAGACAGAAGCAAAUCCAUGUUUCUGCAAUUCUAUCUUCUCCUACCUGAGCCAGGUAAUCCUUCUGUUUGAUUGUGAUUAAUUCCUUCUCCCGUUUCUUGUAAGGUUCCUGCAAGCACUACCCUCCACUCUUAUACUUUCCAUAAUGCCUUCCCCGCCAAUCUCAGGAGAUGACUUCACUUCCAGUCUCAUAUAGGGAAAUAAUUAAUGACAACAUCUAUUUCCUGUACCCCGAGAGAACACAUUUAUCUGCAUCCAUAUAAAUCCUUUUCUCUUUCCCUUCUUCCUUGCCACUUCACUAGCAACUCCUUCAGCUUCCCGAGGACCUUGCUCCAUCAUCUGUAUUCCAACUGUCACUUCUCUCUCCCUCCAUUACUCCCCCUUGCUCCCCUUUACUCCUCCCCCAAUUUCUCUCUCUUUCCCUGCACAGCCACCAGCCUUGAAAAUAGUCUCUGUUUACUGCCUGCACUGUGUUACUUUCCAUUUACUAUUCAACUCACUGCCCUUGGGUUUCUUGCACACCCCAUGUCUCCACUGAAAAAUGUUCUAACAAAAUAACCAGUAGUGUUUGAAUUGCUAAACCCAUUCAUAAACUUUUGGCCCCUAUUUUGCAUAACUUUUCUGAGUCACUGCUGGCUAUCAUCUGUGCACUCCCUUAAAUCUCCUCUCCUGCUAACGCGCCCUACUCUGUAUGCUGGGAAGCUGAACUCUACCAGUUGUUUCAAUGGGUUCCCUUGUACUUUGGCUGCUAGUUGGGUUUGGCCAGUGGAAAGCCCCAGAAAAUGAUAGAAGAGUCACAGCUGGGUGUAUAUAUCCCACUUCUUUCUAAGGGACAGGCCUGCAGUGGGCUGCUGCCCUUGACAGAAGUCAGAUACCUCUUCUUAGGGUAUCUUCUCCAAAUAGCAGUGCUCUCUUGUUCAUUCUCUCUCUCUCUCUCUCUCUCUCUCUCCUCUCUCUCUCUCCCUCCCUCCUGCCCUCUCUAUUUUUCUCAGAGUCCCAGGAUCCACUCUCUCUGCUCAGCUAUCUAGACCUUAGAGGUACUGACCCUACUCUCUGCUCUUACCUGCCAGUGAGUAUUCCAUUAGUACUUUGGGUUCUCUAUACUUGCCCAUACCUUUGUAAAUAGUCUCUUUAUUAAACUUUCCUCAAAUUUCCCGAUUUCAGGGGUGUCAUCUCUUUCCCACCAGUACCAGGACCUGUAUAAAGUAAUUUAACACUACCAACAACUCAGGCCCUCCUGAGUCUCAUGAUGGUGUCUCUUGUUCUUCUGCUAACGUUUUAGCUCUGCCUAUCAAUCCCCUUUAGACAGUGGCUGAGUGUGAUGCUUAAGGAAUGGGCUCCAGAACCAGACCAGGAGGUCUGUGCCACCAACCAGCAGUGUGACCUCGGGAAAUUUCCCAAACCUCUCUGUCUCAGUCUUCUCCUCUAUAAGUGGUGGAUAAGAUGCUUCCCUACCUCAAAGUCUAAUGGAGAUGAAAUGGCUUAAAACAUGUGAAACACUUAGAAUAGUGCCUGGUGCACAUUAAACCAUAAAUGCUGGUGUUUGUGUCCUUAUUACUGAUCACUUUCUUCUCUCAUCUUCUCUUUGCCCCCUAGUUGUUGGGACUUCCCAACAUUCUUUUUUGGUAGACACCUUUCUGUUAGCUAUUUGAAAAUAUCACAGGGAUGAUCUAAAACAAUUAUGAUAAUAGUUAACAUGCAUUAUACUCUUCUUCUGUAUAUGGCACUGUACUAUGAGCCAUGGAAUUAACACAAAACCCUUUGUGUUAGGCAACUGAGUUACCUCUCUGAACCUCAUUUCCCCCCUUUGUAACAUGGGGAAAAUGAUAGUAUCUAUCUGAUAAAGGCUUUUUGUAUGAAUCUGAUGACUUAAUAAAUAAAUAAAUAAAUACCCUUCCCA
Molecule: long non-coding RNA, 2621 nt
Filed under: Felis catus (domestic cat)
Lineage: Eukaryota; Metazoa; Chordata; Mammalia; Carnivora; Felidae
Description: lncRNA (ENSFCAG00000047958.1)
Source: RNAcentral